Molecule: ribosomal RNA, 789 nt
Filed under: Microbacterium esteraromaticum
Lineage: Bacteria; Bacillati; Actinomycetota; Actinomycetes; Micrococcales; Microbacteriaceae
Also listed under: 1 other name
Description: bacterial SSU rRNA
Rfam family: Bacterial small subunit ribosomal RNA
Source: RNAcentral
AGAUUGGAAUUCCUGGUGUAGCGGUGGAAUGCGCAGAUAUCAGGAGGAACACCGAUGGCGAAGGCAGAUCUCUGGGCCGUAACUGACGCUGAGGAGCGAAAGGGUGGGGAGCAAACAGGCUUAGAUACCCUGGUAGUCCACCCCGUAAACGUUGGGAACUAGUUGUGGGGUCCUUUCCACGGAUUCCGUGACGCAGCUAACGCAUUAAGUUCCCCGCCUGGGGAGUACGGCCGCAAGGCUAAAACUCAAAGGAAUUGACGGGGACCCGCACAAGCGGCGGAGCAUGCGGAUUAAUUCGAUGCAACGCGAAGAACCUUACCAAGGCUUGACAUACACGAGAACGGGCCAGAAAUGGUCAACUCUUUGGACACUCGUGAACAGGUGGUGCAUGGUUGUCGUCAGCUCGUGUCGUGAGAUGUUGGGUUAAGUCCCGCAACGAGCGCAACCCUCGUUCUAUGUUGCCAGCACGUAAUGGUGGGAACUCAUGGGAUACUGCCGGGGUCAACUCGGAGGAAGGUGGGGAUGACGUCAAAUCAUCAUGCCCCUUAUGUCUUGGGCUUCACGCAUGCUACAAUGGCCGGUACAAUGGGCUGCGAUACCGUAAGGUGGAGCGAAUCCCAAAAAGCCGGUCCCAGUUCGGAUUGAGGUCUGCAACUCGACCUCAUGAAGUCGGAGUCGCUAGUAAUCGCAGAUCAGCAACGCUGCGGUGAAUACGUUCCCGGGUCUUGUACACACCGCCCGUCAAGUCAUGAAAGUCGGUAACACCUGAAGCCGGUGGCCUAACCCCUU